RNAcentral lists this ribosomal RNA (252 nucleotides) under uncultured bacterium. RNAcentral describes it as "partial 16S ribosomal RNA". It matches the Rfam family "Bacterial small subunit ribosomal RNA", at positions 524 to 776 of the family's 1533-position model. The record is from RNAcentral.
UACGAGGGGGGCAAGCGUUGUUCGGAAUUAUUGGGCGUAAAGGGUGCGUAGGCUGUGCGGUAAGUCACCUGUGAAAUCUCCGAGCUCAACUCGGAGCCUGCAGGCGAAACUGCCGUGCUGGAGUAUGGGAGAGGUGCGUGGAAUUCCCUGUGUAGCGGUGAAAUGCGUAGAUAUAGGAAGAACACCUGUGGUGUAGACAGCUUACUGGACCACUUCUGACGCUGAGGCACGAAAGCGUGGGUAGCAAACAGG